Molecule: long non-coding RNA, 1031 nt
Organism: Rosa rugosa (rugosa rose)
Lineage: Eukaryota; Viridiplantae; Streptophyta; Magnoliopsida; Rosales; Rosaceae
Exons: 3
Source: RefSeq, a predicted model, not a curated record
UCAUGAUUCGAUUACUUUAACUUUAAUGAUUAUGCUGGGUUAAUUGUUUGUAUUGAUCGACAUUGCCGACACUCUCUCUCUCCCUCACUCACACUCUCCCUCUCUCCCACUCACACUCUCACUCUCUCUAUCAGCCGAACCCAGCAAGAAAAACAGAGCAACCAUUCACCUGCCGACCUCUCUCUCCUCAGGCCACCUCAAGACGUCGGACCACCUCCAGUAGCUUCGCCUAGACCUUGCGCAGCCGCCGGUGGCAUCCUUGCGCCGCAACAUGAACUGUAGUGACGGCGGAGGACCUGGCUCCGUUUGAGCCGAUUUCGAAUCAAUCUCAAUAUCUUGAGCUACAAGCCACCAAUACUCUUGAUUCUUGGCUCAUAUGAUUCGCAUCAACUUUCUGAACAAGCACCAAGAAGAACCAGACCUGAAUCGACCAUUUUCACGUUCGUCGGAGCUCGACCGGUUUUUGAUCGAAAAUCAAAACCUUUCGAUCGUGAUAUCUCGAGUUGUAGUGCAUCGUUUUGAUUGAUUCUUGAACCAGUGGGUUUGCCUUGAUGUUCUUAACAACUCUCUAGAAGGAAUCGAGGCCUGAAAUUGAAGUUUUUACGUCGAAAUCUUGGCUCGCCGGUUUCUGCAUUUCUUCGCCGGUUUCUGGAAAAUUUCCGGCCACCUUCAACUGUUCUAGGUGAUUGACGGUCUCCCUUGGGUGAGCGGUUUCGGUGUGUAUUGUGUUGAAUUGAAGACGCAGCGGGAAUAUCGAGCGGGUAAUCCUACAGGUCAGGAGAAUCAGGACGGUGAUCGUGCGGGUUAGAGAAUUUGUUUUAGUUUUACAGCAAUUGUAAUUGUGAGGUGAGUUAUGCUCAUUUGAGCCUUACAAUAUAAUUUGGUGAGAGUGUGCUGUAAUAAACAAAUUUGAGAUUUGGUUUAUGUAAUAUCGAGCGAUGUGAGGUGUGGUUGUUUUGAGAAAAAAAUUCAGGUUGUAUUUAUGUGAGUUGUAUUAAUUCAUGUUUCGGAUUUGGAUUUGUUAUUCAAAA